RNAcentral lists this ribosomal RNA (448 nucleotides) under uncultured organism. Its description in RNAcentral is "partial 16S ribosomal RNA". It matches the Rfam family "Bacterial small subunit ribosomal RNA", at positions 330 to 797 of the family's 1533-position model. The record is from RNAcentral.
CGUACACUCCUACGGGAGGCAGCAGUGGGGAAUAUUGGACAAUGGGCGCAAGCCUGAUCCAGCCAUGCCGCGUGAGUGAUGAAGGCCCUAGGGUUGUAAAGCUCUUUCACCGGUGAAGAUAAUGACGGUAACCGGAGAAGAAGCCCCGGCUAACUUCGUGCCAGCAGCCGCGGUAAUACGAAGGGGGCUAGCGUUGUUCGGAUUUACUGGGCGUAAAGCGCACGUAGGCGGACUAAGUCAGGGGUGAAAUCCCGGGGCUCAACCCCGGAACUGCCUUUGAUACUGGUAGUCUUGAGUUCGAGAGAGGUGAGUGGAAUUCCGAGUGUAGAGGUGAAAUUCGUAGAUAUUCGGAGGAACACCAGUGGCGAAGGCGGCUCACUGGCUCGAUACUGACGCUGAGGUGCGAAAGCGUGGGGAGCAAACAGGAUUAGAUACCCCAGUAGUCCCA